Molecule: long non-coding RNA, 567 nt
Filed under: Manihot esculenta (cassava)
Lineage: Eukaryota; Viridiplantae; Streptophyta; Magnoliopsida; Malpighiales; Euphorbiaceae
Description: long non-coding RNA (MESC_LNC012787)
Source: RNAcentral
GUUCACUUUUUACUGUAACGAUUGUUUGAUAUCGAAACAUAGUCAUAACCUUCGAGGGAAAUAAAUUUGGAUUAUUAUAAUACCAGAUUGAAGGGUUUUAAAGAAAGAUUAAUUAUUUAUAGGAUUAUAGAUAAAAAUAAAGCCACAAAAGAAAUCAUUGAAUUAGCUAAGAUAUAGGAGAACAAUUUUCAUAAAGGGACCAUGAGUGAAUUAGAUCCUUAAUAUUGUCAAAACUUGUCUAUAACUUAGGAUAGAAGCAUACAGAAGUACCUAAAAUGAAUAACUUGGAAAGCUUGUCAAAGAAACGGCAAUUGGCAUGCUAAUAGGUGCAAUUUAUGAUAUAAAACAACACUUGAAAGGCAGUGUCACAGUCUAGAUAUGAAAUGUAAGUUGGCAUUUAAAGUUAUAAAGUAUAGACGAAGUGUCGCAACUACCCGAAAUCCUCAUUCACUAGCAGACUAAAUGAAAUUGUUGUUUGAAAAAAAAAAGGAUAAUGGCAUAAAAAAAUCCGAAAUUUUAUUUCUUGGCACAAUAAAUUAGGAUUUAAAAAUAUUUAGCGAUUCUUUU